This 895-nucleotide long non-coding RNA is filed under the name Coturnix japonica (Japanese quail). RNAcentral describes it as "lncRNA (ENSCJPG00005010420.1)". The record is from RNAcentral. Lineage: Eukaryota; Metazoa; Chordata; Aves; Galliformes; Phasianidae.
GCGGGACUUUCAUCGCAGACCCAAAUUAACACCGGUAAUUCCUUGCCGUCCGAAUUGCGGCCGAAGGAACAACCCCGGGCGGGGCUCAGAGGCCGGGCCGCCGCCCCCACCCCCGGCCGCGCCUCGGCCGAACAAAGGCGGCGGUGGCGGCGGGGCCGCUCCGUGCGGUGCGAGCACGGCGAGGGUCCAGCCCACACAGAGCCGAGCCCGGCAGCGCUGGAAGCGCCCCGCACCCCGGCCCCACGCUCGGCCCGGCCCCACUCCGCGGCGUGUCGGGAGGAAGCGCCGGCCGCCGGCCCCUCGGCUCGCCCGCCCCCCGUCUCCUCCCCUUCGCAGCCGAUCCUCCGCCCCCUCCUCCUCCUCCCGCUGGCGGCGGCGGCGGCUUUCUCGGCCCCGGCUCCCCCCGCUUUUCCCCGCGGCUUCGCCUCGCUCCUCAGCGGGAGGCUCCGCGUCGUGCCGGCGAAGACGGAGCUGAAGAAGCAUCCUUUCCUUGUGAAAGGGCCCCUGGUAGCAGCAUUGCUCUUUCUCCAGUACCUCUACACAGCGUUAGGCAAGUCUGUCUUAAAUAACUAUCAAAUUCAUGAAUGGACUCAGACCUUUGGAUUCAGAAUGACCUUUGUAUGUUGUUGUCCUUUUCUACUUGACAGCUUAAUCAGUGUGUGCUACCCAAGGAGGUCAGUGGGCUGUUGGAAGUGAAGCUGUUUCUGUUGUGCGUGCUGGCGCAUGUAUGUAUAUGCAGCUUCAACUAUGUUGUGGAAUUGUUUUGAGUCAUGGUUGGGUGAGCAGGCCUUGGGACGAUAACAUGCACUUUCUAAAUGUAUAUCUACAUAUAUAUGCACAUGCAUACAUGUAUAAUCCUUUUGUGAUCCGUUUUAUUAUCCGUUUGCCACUGUUA